AUUUGUAAAUCAUGUUUAAUAG
This 22-nucleotide small nuclear RNA is filed under the name Arabidopsis thaliana (thale cress). RNAcentral describes it as "snRNA_02567". The record is from RNAcentral. Lineage: Eukaryota; Viridiplantae; Streptophyta; Magnoliopsida; Brassicales; Brassicaceae.